This 383-nucleotide ribosomal RNA is filed under the name uncultured eukaryote. RNAcentral's name for it is "partial 18S ribosomal RNA". It matches the Rfam family "Eukaryotic small subunit ribosomal RNA", at positions 592 to 976 of the family's 1831-position model. The record is from RNAcentral.
CAAUAGCGUAUAUUAAAGUUGUUGCAGUUAAAAAGCUCGUAGUUGGAUUUCAGGCAGGAGCGACCGGUCACACACUCUGUGUGUGAACUUGUGUUGUCUCUGGCCAUCCUUGGGGAGAUCCUGUUUGGCAUUAAAUUGUCGGGCAGGGGACAUCCAUCGUUUACUGUGAAAAAAUUAGAGUGUUUAAAGCAGGCUUAUGCCGUUGAAUAUAUUAGCAUGGAAUAAUAAGAUAGGACUUCGGAACUAUUUUGUUGGUUUGCGUUACGAAGUAAUGAUUAAUAGGGACAGUUGGGGGUAUUCGUAUUUCGUUGUCAGAGGUGAAAUUCUUGGAUUUCCGAAAGACGAACUACUGCGAAAGCAUUUACCAAGGAUGUUUUCAUUAA